GACGAACCCUUGCGGCUGUGCUUAACACAUGCAAGUCGAACGGAAAGGCCCUGCUUUUGUGGGGUGCUCGAGUGGCGAACGGGUGAGUAACACGUGAGUAACCUGCCCUUGACUUUGGGAUAACUUCAGGAAACUGGGGCUAAUACCGGAUAGGAGCUCCUGCUGCAUGGUGGGGGUUGGAAAGUUUCGGCGGUUGGGGAUGGACUCGCGGCUUAUCAGCUUGUUGGUGGGGUAGUGGCUUACCAAGGCUUUGACGGGUAGCCGGCCUGAGAGGGUGACCGGCCACAUUGGGACUGAGAUACGGCCCAGACUCCUACGGGAGGCAGCAGUGGGGAAUAUUGCACAAUGGGCGGAAGCCUGAUGCAACAACGCCGCGUGCGGGAUGACGGCCUUCGGGUUGUAAACCGCUUUCGCCUGUGACGAAGCGUGAGUGACGGUAAUGGGUAAAGAAGCACCGGCUAACUACGUGCCAGCAGCCGCGGUGAUACGUAGGGUGCGAGCGUUGUCCGGAUUUAUUGGGCGUAAAGGGCUCGUAGGUGGUUGAUCGCGUCGGAAGUGUAAUCUUGGGGCUUAACCCUGAGCGUGCUUUCGAUACGGGUUGACUUGAGGAAGGUAGGGGAGAAUGGAAUUCCUGGUGGAGCGGUGGAAUGCGCAGAUAUCAGGAGGAACACCAGUGGCGAAGGCGGUUCUCUGGGCCUUUCCUGACGCUGAGGAGCGAAAGCGUGGGGAGCGAACAGGCUUAGAUACCCUGGUAGUCCACGCUGUAAACGGUGGGUACUAGGUGUGGGGUCCAUUCCACGGGUUCCGUGCCGUAGCUAACGCUUUAAGUACCCCGCCUGGGGAGUACGGCCGCAAGGCUAAAACUCAAAGGAAUUGACGGGGCCCCGCACAAGCGGCGGAGCAUGCGGAUUAAUUCGAUGCAACGCGUAGAACCUUACCUGGGUUUGACAUGGAUCGGGAGUGCUCAGAGAUGGGUGUGCCUCUUUUGGGGUCGGUUCACAGGUGGUGCAUGCCUGUCGUCAGCUCGUGUCGUGAGAUGUUGGGUUAAGUCCCGCAACGAGCGCAACCCUUGUUCACUGUUGCCAGCACGUUAUGGUGGGGACUCAGUGGAGACCGCCGGGGUCAACUCGGAGGAAGGUGGGGAUGACGUCAAGUCAUCAUGCCCCUUAUGUCCAGGGCUUCACGCAUGCUACAAUGGCUGGUACAGAGAGUGGCGAGCCUGUGAGGGUGAGCGAAUCUCGGAAAGCCGGUCUCAGUUCGGAUUGGGGUCUGCAACUCGACCUCAUGAAGUCGGAGUCGCUAGUAAUCGCAAAUCAGCAACGCUGCGGUGAAUCCGUUCCCGGGGCU
Molecule: ribosomal RNA, 1347 nt
Filed under: uncultured bacterium
Lineage: Bacteria
Description: partial 16S ribosomal RNA
Rfam family: Bacterial small subunit ribosomal RNA
Source: RNAcentral